GUAGCUUGCUUCUCGGUGUCGAGCGGCGGACGGGAGAGUAAUACUUAGGAAUCUACCUAGUAGUGGGGGAUAGCACGGGGAAACUCGUAUUAAUACCGCAUACGACCUACGGGAGAAAGGGGGCAGUUUACUGCUCUCGCUAUUAGAUGAGCCUAAGUCGGAUUAGCUAGAUGGUGGGGUAAAGGCCUACCAUGGCGACGAUCUGUAGCUGGUCUGAGAGGAUGAUCAGCCACACCGGGACUGAGACACGGCCCGGACUCCUACGGGAGGCAGCAGUGGGGAAUAUUGGACAAUGGGGGAAACCCUGAUCCAGCCAUGCCGCGUGUGUGAAGAAGGCCUUUUGGUUGUAAAGCACUUUAAGCAGUGAAGAAGACUCCUUGGUUAAUACCCAUGGACGAUGACAUUAGCUGCAGAAUAAGCACCGGCUAACUCUGUGCCAGCAGCCGCGGUAAUACAGAGGGUGCAAGCGUUAAUCGGAAUUACUGGGCGUAAAGGGAGCGUAGGUGGCUCUAUAAGUCAGAUGUGAAAUCCCCGGGCUUAACCUGGGAACUGCAUCUGAAACUGUAAAGCUAGAGUAUGUGAGAGGAAGGUAGAAUUCCAGGUGUAGCGGUGAAAUGCGUAGAGAUCUGGAGGAAUACCGAUGGCGAAGGCAGCCUUCUGGCAUAAUACUGACACUGAGGCUCGAAAGCGUGGGUAGCAAACAGGAUUAGAUACCCUGGUAGUCCACGCCGUAAACGAUGUCUACUAGUCGUUGGGUCCCUUGAGGACUUAGUGACGCAGCUAACGCAAUAAGUAGACCGCCUGGGGAGUACGGCCGCAAGGUUAAAACUCAAAUGAAUUGACGGGGGCCCGCACAAGCGGUGGAGCAUGUGGUUUAAUUCGAUGCAACGCGAAGAACCUUACCUGGUCUUGACAUAUCUAGAAUCCUGCAGAGAUGCGGGAGUGCCUUCGGGAAUUAGAAUACAGGUGCUGCAUGGCUGUCGUCAGCUCGUGUCGUGAAAUGUUGGGUUAAGUCCCGCAACGAGCGCAACCCUUGUCCUUAGUUACCAGCGGGUUAAGCCGGGAACUCUAAGGAUACUGCCAGUGACAAACUGGAGGAAGGCGGGAACGACUUCAAGUCAUCAGGGCCCUUACGACCAGGGCUACCACGUGCUACAUGGUAGGUACGAAGGGCAGUUACCCGCGAUUGGAUGCGAUUCCAAAAGCCUAUCGGAUUCCGAAUGGGAGUUCGCACUCCAUUCCUGAAAUGGGAUCCCUAGAAUCCCGGAUCCAAUGCCCGGGGAAACUUUCCCGGCCUUGUAACCCCGCCCUCCCCCUGGGGAUUGUUGCCCAAAGGGUAUUUUAACUCCGGGAG
Molecule: ribosomal RNA, 1354 nt
Filed under: Psychrobacter sp.
Lineage: Bacteria; Pseudomonadati; Pseudomonadota; Gammaproteobacteria; Moraxellales; Moraxellaceae
Description: bacterial SSU rRNA
Rfam family: Bacterial small subunit ribosomal RNA
Source: RNAcentral